GCCGGUGUGGCGGAAUGGUAGACGCAGGGGAUUCAAAAUCCCCCGCCCGCAAGGGCUUGUCGGUUCGAGUCCGACCACCGGUA
This 83-nucleotide transfer RNA is filed under the name Loktanella sp. 3ANDIMAR09. It matches the Rfam family "tRNA". From Rfam's summary of the family: Transfer RNA (tRNA) molecules are approximately 80 nucleotides in length. Their secondary structure includes four short double-helical elements and three loops (D, anti-codon, and T loops). Further hydrogen bonds mediate the characteristic L-shaped molecular structure. tRNAs have two regions of fundamental functional importance: the anti-codon, which is responsible for specific mRNA codon recognition, and the 3' end, to which the tRNAs corresponding amino acid is attached (by aminoacyl-tRNA synthetases). tRNAs cope with the degeneracy of the genetic code in two manners: having more than one tRNA (with a specific anti-codon) for a particular amino acid; and 'wobble' base-pairing, i.e. permitting non-standard base-pairing at the 3rd anti-codon position. Lineage: Bacteria; Pseudomonadati; Pseudomonadota; Alphaproteobacteria; Rhodobacterales; Roseobacteraceae. The record is from Rfam by way of RNAcentral. RNAcentral also lists the same sequence under 2 other names.